This 406-nucleotide ribosomal RNA is filed under the name uncultured bacterium. Its description in RNAcentral is "partial 16S ribosomal RNA". It matches the Rfam family "Bacterial small subunit ribosomal RNA", at positions 29 to 526 of the family's 1533-position model. The record is from RNAcentral.
AUUGAACGCUGGAGGCAGGCCUAACACAUGCAAGUCGAACGAGUGGCGGACGGGUGAGUAAUGUCUGGGAAACUGCCCGAUGGAGGGGGAUAACUACUGGAAACGGUAGCUAAUACCGCAUACCAUCGGAUGUGCCCAGAUGGGAUUAGCUUGUAGGUGAGGUAACGGCUCACCUAGGCGACGCGCCCUAGCUGGUCUGAGAGGAUGACCAGCGAACCGGUAACGGGGACACGGUCCAGACUCCGACGGGAGGCAGCAGGGGGGAAUAGUGGACAAUGGGUGCAAGCCGGAUGCAGCAAUGCGGGGUGUAUGAAGAAGGCAUUCGGGUUGUAAAGUACUUUCAGCGGGGAGGCGUUACCCGCAGAAGAAGCACCGGCUAACUCCGGGCCAGCAGCCGCGGUAAUUC